AUCCAGAUGACGAGUCAUAAAUAGGGCGAAACACACUUCUUGGAU
This 45-nucleotide non-coding RNA is filed under the name Schistosoma mattheei. The record is from RNAcentral. Lineage: Eukaryota; Metazoa; Platyhelminthes; Trematoda; Strigeidida; Schistosomatidae.